CCACCACUGGUCGAUUUCCGGCGUCUGCAUCCAUACGACCACCGUUUCCGUAACAAGAGCAUUUCAACUCUGAGCUGUUACCAUAGAAAUGGGGAGUGCCGAUGCCAACAAGCUCAGGUUUUGCAUUGACAGAGGGGGCACAUUCACUGAUGUUUAUGCUCAGAUCCCCGGUCAGCCUGAUGGUCGUGUUUUGAAACUUUUAUCGGUUGAUCCAUCAAACUAUGAUGAUGCUCCAGUAGAAGGAAUUCGCAGGAUUUUGGAAGAAUUUACCGGGCAGAAAAUUUCUCGUCGUUUGAAGUUACCUACUGACAAGAUAGAGUGGAUAAGGAUGGGUACAACUGUUGCUACAAAUGCACUUUUGGAGAGGAAAGGGGAAAGCAUUGCUCUUUGUGUGACUCGGGGUUUCCGGAAUUUGCUGCAGAUUGGUAAUCAGGCUCGUCCAAAUAUUUUUGACCUCACUGUAUCUAAACCGUCCAACCUUUAUGAGGAGGUUAUUGAGGUUGACGAGAGAGUGGAGCUCAUUCAUGACAGUGAAGAUUCUACUUCUGCAUCCUUAGUUAAAGGGGUUUCUGGUGAGAUGGUUAAAGUUGUAAAGCCCCUCGAUCUAGAAACUUUAAAGCCAUUACUCAAAGGUUUGCUGGAGAAGGGAAUUAGCUGUUUGGCAGUUGUGUUAAUGCAUUCGUACACUUACCCACAACAUGAAAUAGCUGUUGAAAGGUUAGCAGCUAGCAUGGGCUUUAAACAUGUUUCCUUAUCCUCAGCUUUGACACCUAUGGUUCGAGCUGUUCCUCGGGGUCUAACAGCUAGUGUUGAUGCAUAUCUAACUCCAGUAAUCAAAGAUUACUUGUCGGGGUUCAUGUCUAAGUUUGAUGAAGGGCUGGGGAAGGUGAACGUUUUGUUUAUGCAAUCUGAUGGAGGACUUGCACCAGAAAGUCGAUUUUCAGGGCACAAAGCUGUUCUGUCAGGCCCUGCUGGUGGGGUUGUGGGUUACUCUCAAACACUUUUUGGGCUUGAAACUGAGAAACCUCUUAUUGGGUUUGACAUGGGUGGCACAUCUACUGAUGUGAGCCGUUAUGCUGGGACUUACGAACAAGUUCUGGAAACUCAAAUUGCUGGUGCCAUUAUACAAGCACCUCAACUUGACAUAAAUACUGUAGCUGCUGGUGGCGGAUCAAAGUUAAAGUUCCAAUUUGGAGCUUUUCGGGUAGGACCAGAAUCAGUGGGUGCACAUCCAGGUCCAGUGUGUUACCGCAAAGGUGGGGAGUUAGCUGUUACAGAUGCAAACUUAGUCCUCGGAUAUGUAAUUCCUGAUUAUUUCCCAUCAAUAUUUGGCCCCAAUGAAGAUCAGCCUUUAGAUAUUGAGGAAACAAGAAAAGAAUUUGAAAAUCUUGCUGAGCAAAUAAAUUCCUAUCGGAAGAGCCAGGAUCCAUCUGCAAAGGACAUGACAGUAGAAGACAUUGCAUUGGGAUUUGUGAAUGUUGCCAAUGAGACCAUGUGUCGUCCAAUAAGGCAACUAACUGAGAUGAAGGGCCAUGAGACAAAGGAUCAUGCACUUGCUUGCUUUGGAGGUGCUGGGCCUCAACAUGCAUGUGCAAUUGCUAGGUCGUUGGGUAUGAAAGAAGUACUAAUACACAGAUUUUGUGGAAUCUUAAGUGCUUAUGGGAUGGGAUUGGCAGAUGUUGUUGAAGAGGCACAGGAACCAUACUCUGCAGUAUACAGUCUGGAUUCUGUGCAGGAGGCAUCUCACAGGGAAGCUGCUUUACUGAAUCAAGUAAAGCAAAAGUUGCAAGAGCAAGGUUUUAAAGAUGAAAACAUAAAAACGGAGACAUAUUUGAAUUUGAGAUAUGAAGGAACAGACACCUCAAUCAUGGUUAAGAAACGAAAAGGUGGAGAAUGCAAGUAUGAUCUGGACUUUGUGGAACUAUUCCAGCAGGAGUACGGAUUUAAAUUACUGAAUAGGAAUAUUCUAGUAAAUGAUGUUAGGGUUCGAGGGGUAGGAGUGACUAACAUUUUGAAGCCACUGGCUUUGGAAUCUGUAUCAUGUUCUCCUAGAGUUGAAGGUAACUACAAGGUUUAUUUUGAGAACGGGUGGCAAGAAACACCUCUUUACAAGCUUGAGAAUCUGGGAUAUGGGAAUGUCAUGGAUGGUCCGGCAAUAAUUAUGAAUGGGAACAGUACUGUGAUAGUGGAACCUAAGUGCAAAGCUAUGAUAACCAAGUAUGGUAACAUUAAAAUUGAAAUUGAAUCUGCUUCAAGCACCCUGAAAGUAGUAGAGAAGGUUGCAAAUGUUGUGCAGCUCUCAAUCUUUAAUCAUAGAUUUAUGGGUAUAGCCGAACAGAUGGGAAGGACCCUGCAGAGAACCUCUAUAUCAACUAACAUCAAGGAAAGGCUAGAUUUCUCUUGUGCCCUCUUUGGACCUGGUGGGGGAUUAGUCGCUAAUGCUCCUCAUGUUCCUGUGCACUUAGGAGCAAUGUCUAGUACAGUUCGGUGGCAGCUCAACUAUUGGGGUGAAAAUUUGAAUGAAGGAGAUGUUUUGGUCACCAAUCAUCCUUGUGCCGGAGGUAGCCAUCUUCCUGAUAUAACAGUUAUCACACCUGUAUUUGAUAAUGGAAUGCUGGUAUUUUUUGUGGCAAGUAGAGGGCAUCAUGCAGAGAUCGGAGGUAUUACUCCUGGAAGCAUGCCACCAUUUUCCAAGUCUAUAUGGGAAGAAGGGGCUGCUAUAAAAGCAUUUAAGCUUGUUGAAAAGGGGAUUUUUCAAGAAGAAGGAAUUACUAAACUUCUCUGCUUCCCCUAUGAUGAUUUGGCACAAAAGAUCCCAGGAACUCGCAGGCUUCAAGAUAACUUAUCAGAUCUUCGAGCCCAAGUAGCUGCAAACCAGAGAGGAAUCACUCUUAUUAAAGAGCUCAUUGAGCAGUAUGGUUUGGAAACAGUUCAAGCUUACAUGACCUAUGUGCAGCUGAAUGCAGAAGAAGCAGUGAGAGAAAUGCUCAAGUCUGUUGCUGCUAGAGUUUUAUCGCAGUCAGCCAGGUCUGGAGACAAGAGUUCUGUCAUUAUUGAAGAAGAGGAUUACAUGGAUGAUGGAUCCAUUAUUCAUCUGAAGCUGACCAUUGAUUCUGUUAAAGGUGAAGCAAAUUUUGACUUUAGUGGAACCAGUCCUGAAGUAUAUGGAAAUUGGAAUGCCCCAGAAGCUGUAACAGCUGCAGCAGUUAUAUACUGUCUUCGCUGCUUGGUGGAUGUUGAUAUUCCUCUGAAUCAAGGUUGUUUGGCUCCUGUGAAAAUCUAUAUUCCACCUGGUUCAUUCCUCUCUCCAAGUGAUAAGGCUGCUGUGGUGGGCGGUAAUGUUCUCACUUCUCAGAGAAUAACUGAUGUUGUACUUACUGCAUUUCAGGCUUGUGCUUGUUCACAGGGUUGUAUGAAUAAUCUUACUUUUGGGGAUGACACAUUUGGUUAUUACGAAACAAUUGGAGGUGGGAGUGGAGCUGGUCCAUCCUGGGAUGGGACCAGUGGAGUUCAAUGUCAUAUGACCAAUACCCGGAUGACUGAUCCAGAAAUAUUUGAACAGAGAUAUCCUGUUCUCUUGCACAAGUUUGCCUUGAGAGAGAACAGUGGAGGAGUUGGAUAUCAUAGAGGUGGUAAUGGGCUUGUGAGGGAAAUAGAGUUCAAGCGCCCAGUUGUAGUGAGCAUUCUUUCAGAGAGGCGUGUUCAUGCUCCGAGAGGGUUGAAAGGAGGGAAGGAUGGGUCUCGUGGAGCUAACUACCUAAUCACAAAAGAUAAGAGAAGGGUAUACCUGGGUGGUAAGAACACAGUUGAGGUGCAGUCGGGGGAAAUUCUUCAGAUUUUAACUCCUGGUGGUGGUGGAUGGGGCUCUCCUCUUUAAUUCCUUAAGUGAUAGUAUUUGAUGCCAAGUUUUCGACUUGUGUGAUGAUGUGUUUCUGGUUCGCAUGCCUUUUCUCUGGGACGUGAAAACUGACUGCUAGGGCGCUCAUAUGCCAGACAUGUAAUUCGAAGAUUUCACGACGCUCUGGAUUCCGGCAAACUGCCACAAAGUCAGUAAGCAAAUCUGUCACAAAAUUAACUUUCCGAAUAAGAUGCGAAGAAAGAGCUUAGGGGUUCAAAAAUGACAAGACGAGACGAGGGUUAAUGAGUUGGACAUACGUAUACGUACCUUACGUGUUGCUUACUAGAUAGUAUUAUACACUAAUACAUAUACACAUGAUCGUUGGCUUGGCCCAGCCAUCACCAUAGGUUAAAAACCGGCCCCGCUUUCACCGCACUGUUUUGAAACCUUCCAAGUUCCACCAAUGGAUUUUCUCCCAUAAUUUCUUACCACCACUUUGUUCGAUUACGGCAACAACUCCUUGCAACAAAACACAAACAUCCAUAGACAAACCCAAA
Molecule: RNA transcript, 4395 nt
Organism: Argentina anserina (silverweed cinquefoil)
Lineage: Eukaryota; Viridiplantae; Streptophyta; Magnoliopsida; Rosales; Rosaceae
Gene name: 5-oxoprolinase 1
Exons: 4
Source: RefSeq, a predicted model, not a curated record